CCUCCACGCUAGUCGCAGCUCGGAGUCCACUAGGACAGCAUGGCCGCUCGCCGCGCCGCUGCAGCAGCAGCUGGUGUGUAAAACCGGCGCCACGCUCCGCCCCUUUGGAGUACAGCAGCCGUCAAGGUGGACGAUGUCUGCCGCCGGCGUUGUGCGUGUCGUGUAGUCGCGACCCUUUUGACGUCGUCCGGAGGUGUCACAUCGAUCUCGGACGGUCAUCUCGCCCGUCGUGCCGGCUCGGACGUCCGUCAAUGAUCUCCCUCUCCUUUUUCUCGCGGACACCCGGAAAGCACCGCGGCACUUGUCACUCACCGGAGUAGUAAAAGAAAGACUGUAGCGACGGGAUCAUCGCUCUCGUUCCAUUUGAUGCUGUUGCUGCUGCCGCUUCAAACGUCACACUGGCUUCUUUCCUUGCUUCGAGUGGUGGUGUGCAGUCGUUCCUCGCUUGGGACGUCAGUGUGUUGUGAUUGCGUGUGCUGCAACUGAUCGCGCCCAGGCACGACUGAGUUACCGCGCGCCCUUCCUGAACGUGACACUGACAGGAGUCCCGCGUCCUUCACGUGCGGCGACGCUCGACAGAUACAGCGCGUGAUUGUUGCUUCCGUGCACCGGAUUUACCGCUGCGAUUGUUUCUUUGUGUUGUGACCGACCUUUCAAGCGGUGCCCGGAUCUGACGCUACCGAGCGCGCGCCAGUUUAAAACGUGCCUGCCCCUGGCGCCGUCGGGUGGCCGUGCACUUGACUUGCCUUGGAUUGAGUUACCGUGUGCUUUUGGAGCUGCUGGCGCUCCCGUGGACUACCCUCGAGCAUAGGACACGGCACGAGUCCUACGUUCUGGACGUCGUGGUGGUCAAUCGCUUCGUUGUCAUCAAUGAUCCCAUACCUGUGAGGUACACGACGCACAGCAGUCAAGAACGUGACAUGGGACGCUGAAUGGACUGUCGUCAGUUGGUCAGCUCCUGUGUUUCCGCCCUCGCUGACAAACCGAAGACGCAUCCCUGGCUCCUACUUUAGUCCAAGAGCUAAUCACGGCUAUCCGCAUACGUUCAUCCAGACAUCUAUACAAUUAUCCUGCCAAGGCGGCUUCGUCCGUACCGGGUGAAGAGAGCCGGCGGGAGGCGGAGCGGAGGACGCCGCAUGCCUCGCCAGGCGGGCAGCGGCAACGACUGGAUGACACACGACCCGGAGACAGUGCACACAGUUCCUACUCGCGGAGGUGAGGCUUCGAUGCUGCGCUCUCUUAAAGCCAGUCUU
Long non-coding RNA from Dermacentor silvarum, 1253 nucleotides. RefSeq lists it as uncharacterized. The record is from RefSeq and is a predicted model, not a curated record. The transcript has 5 exons. Lineage: Eukaryota; Metazoa; Arthropoda; Arachnida; Ixodida; Ixodidae.